This 468-nucleotide ribosomal RNA is filed under the name uncultured bacterium. RNAcentral describes it as "partial 16S ribosomal RNA". It matches the Rfam family "Bacterial small subunit ribosomal RNA", at positions 38 to 507 of the family's 1533-position model. The record is from RNAcentral.
GGGGGGGGGGGGGGGGGGGCGGGGCGCGUGGGGGUCGGGCGGACAGGCCCUGCGUUGGGGGUGUGGGCGGGUGGGGAAGGGGUGAGUAACACGUGCGUGACCUGCCCUUGACUAUGGGAUACCUUACGGAGCCUGGGUCUGCUACCGGAUAGGAUCUCCUUAUUCCUUGUGGGUGUUGGGCAGUGUAUGCGGUUGUGGAUGGACUCUCGGCUUCUCAUCUUGUUGGGGGGGUAGGGGCUUACCAAGGCUGUGACGGGUAGCCGGCCUGAGAGGGUGACCGGCCACAUUGGGACUGAGAUACGGCCCAGACUCCUACGGGAGGCAGCAGUGGGGAAUAUUGCACAAUGGGCGGAAGCCUGAUGCAGCAACGCCGCGUGCGGGAUGACGGCCUUCGGGUUGUAAACCGCUUUCGCCUGUGACGAAGCGUGAGUGACGGUAAUGGGUAAAGAAGCACCGGCUAACUACGUG